CUUCAGAGGAGAUAAACUCUGAGGCUGGAUGAUUUAUGGUCUUUUCUAUUUGUUUAAGAGCCUUUAACAUGAACAACUUUCAUAGUGGAGCUGCAGCUGCACAAAAUCUAUAAAGUCAUUUUGGAAAAUGUCAGCGACAUAUAUGAAGCCCUGCGUCUGUUAACUGUUACAGGGUCUUGUAUCGAUCCUAACAGGUAACUAAAUCUACCUGUCAGAAAAACGCCUUGAGCUCCGAGCUAAUACAUCUCUGCCCGCAGAUAUAUAGCAACCGCUACGAGCUGGCGGGGCCGGCGUGUUGGGGGUAACAAGCCCGUUGUUUAGCCGACAUGUCACAUGAAUCAGGCCAAUUGUAUGAUGGCCUUUUCUGGCGCGGCGGCCUCGUAAACACCAAGGUCAGCUGCAACAGUGGAUGGAGACAUAAAUGGGUCAUAUAUAUUGUAACAAGGCCGCGGGGGUCAGAGCAGACUCAACCUUGAGCGCAACCUCGCUUGCACUCCCUCCCCCUGCGGACUCAUUCUCCCAGACUCCUUUAUUGCUCAUUUCUAUGGCAACGGUCUGCUCGGCGAGUCGGCCCCUUAAUAGUUAAAAGCGGCGUCUUCUUCUUAUGGAAAUAUAAAGACAGAGAAAAAGAAACCAGGGCUGUGCUUCAUGAUGUUUUUAUGGUGACUGGAGCGCCUGAUGUUUUCCCAGAGGCAGGCGCAUGAUUGGCUGCACCCCCCCUCCUCCAACCUGACAUACACAUCAGCAUACAUGCGCUCCCAGCCCCUCGCCCAUCUCCGUCCCUGUGUUGGCGAAGCCUCCGGGGCCCCUGGGGCGGAGAAACAAAGAUAAUAAUUGGCUGGAGUUUAUCGUUGACUGCAUUGUGAGCGUGUGCAUUUGAUCUUUUCUUUGGUGGCAGCAACAGUCCAAAGAGGCUCCAUCACCUUCAAAAGCCGUGAACUCAGCCGUGAAACGUGCUCAGAAGGCUUGAGGGCCGUUAAGACGAGCGCCAACAGCUCCAUCAGGUGUGGGCGGGCCGAGUGACGGCUGGACGGACAGAUGAUGGAGCUGAUUGUCAGGAACCGUGCGCCGUAGAUGCUAAUAUGGUUGAAAAUAUGUGCAGUGAUGGUUUAUUGGGUCAGGGGUUCAUCUCUCUGCUGCUCCUCUUCUUCUUCUUCUUCUUCUUCUUUUAUUAUUUAGCUGCUUUUCUUUUGAUCAGACUGGUUUGAUUCCUUUCUGCUGCUUUCUUUGAGUCGUGCCCUCUAUAUGAGAGAGUUCAGUCUGUUCUUGUGGAAUUAUUUCUGUUGCAAAACUUGAAUUUCCACCUGUUUCAGGAUUCAUAAUUUAACAAAGAAUUUACCUGCUGUUGGGUUUCUGUUAAAUCCAAAUUACUCCUCUAAAAAAGCUGGUCAAGACCGUCCAAAGACCCGGUGUAAAGACGGGAUGAGACUGAAACACUGAACAGCAUUUAUCGGAUUACUGUGGAGAGGAAGAACUUCCUAUAACAGGCAGAAACCUCGAGCAGAACCAGACUCGUGUUAGACAGACAUGCAGAGGUCCAAAGUCUUGUUUUUGAUGAAAGUAACAGGUAGAAACCUCGAGCAGAACCAGACUCAUGUUAGACAAAUAUCUGCUGAGACUGAGCGGGGUUUAGGGAAGAAGGAGAGGGAGAUAAAGAGAUACAAAGUCCUGUUUUCAGAUGAAAGUCAUUUUCUUUAACAGGCAGAAACCUUGAGCACAUUCGGACUGAUGUUAGACAGACAUGCAGAGGUCCAAAAUCUUGUUUUUGAUGAAUGUAACAGGCAGAAACCUUGAGCAGAACCAGAUUGAUGUUAGAAAGUCAUCUCCUGAGGCUAAACUGGGUUUAGGGAGUUGAGAAAGGGAGGUGAAGAGGUCCAAAGUCCUGUUUACAGAUGAAUGUAACAGGCAGAAACCUCAAGCAGAACCAGAUUGAUAGACAGUCAUCUGCAGAGUCUGAGCUGGGUUUAGAGAGGGGAGAAAGGGAGGUGAAGAGGUCCAAAGUCCUGUUUUUCAGAUGAAAGUAAUUUUCUUCAACAGGCAGAAACCUCGAGCACAAACAGAUUCAUGUCGGACAGACACGCAGAGGUCCAAAGUCUUACAUUUUAUUUGGAAAUGAAGAUCCCAGAGUCUAGAUUCCUCAUAAUCCAAGUUGUCUGGAGUCCAGUCUCUGCAGUCUGUGAUAAUUUAGGGUGCCGUGUCAUCUGCUGGUUUUGGUUCACUGAGGUUAAGGUCGACAAAGAUGUCCUCCUGGAUAUUUGAGAGAUCUUUAUCUGCUGAGAAGCUCUCUAAAGAUGCUGCUUUUCUUCUCUAGUCAGACUUUGCACCUUUUGACAACGCCAAAACUACGACUAAAUGGGUUUGGUAGAUUUAUUUGACCUUCUCUAUCUAACCCUAACCCUGAGCUUUAACAACACCUUAUUAUCGCGUCUUUAUGCCACAAUGCAGGAGCCCAAACCAGAUCAAAAGCAGAUAUAUGAACUCAGUCUUUGGACAUUUCUGUCGAGGAUGAAGGAUUCCUGACUUCUAUGAGCUAUCAUGAUGAAUUAUUCGCUUUAACGUGCCGCAAAUAGGAGGAAUUCAAGUCACCACAAGUUCAA
This is a non-coding RNA of Xyrichtys novacula (pearly razorfish), 2597 nucleotides long. Lineage: Eukaryota; Metazoa; Chordata; Actinopteri; Labriformes; Labridae. The record is from the annotation of a GenBank genome assembly.